RNAcentral lists this ribosomal RNA (526 nucleotides) under uncultured Lactobacillus sp. RNAcentral describes it as "bacterial SSU rRNA". It matches the Rfam family "Bacterial small subunit ribosomal RNA", at positions 383 to 901 of the family's 1533-position model. The record is from RNAcentral. Lineage: Bacteria; Bacillati; Bacillota; Bacilli; Lactobacillales; Lactobacillaceae.
CUGAUGGAGCAACACCGCGUGAGUGAAGAAGGGUUUCGGCUCGUAAAGCUCUGUUGUUGGAGAAGAACGUGCGUGAGAGUAACUGUUCACGCAGUGACGGUAUCCAACCAGAAAGUCACGGCUAACUACGUGCCAGCAGCCGCGGUAAUACGUAGGUGGCAAGCGUUAUCCGGAUUUAUUGGGCGUAAAGCGAGCGCAGGCGGUUGCUUAGGUCUGAUGUGAAAGCCUUCGGCUUAACCGAAGAAGUGCAUCGGAAACCGGGCGACUUGAGUGCAGAAGAGGACAGUGGAACUCCAUGUGUAGCGGUGGAAUGCGUAGAUAUAUGGAAGAACACCAGUGGCGAAGGCGGCUGUCUGGUCUGCAACUGACGCUGAGGCUCGAAAGCAUGGGUAGCGAACAGGAUUAGAUACCCUGGUAGUCCAUGCCGUAAACGAUGAGUGCUAGGUGUUGGAGGGUUUCCGCCCUUCAGUGCCGGAGCUAACGCAUUAAGCACUCCGCCUGGGGAUACGACCGCAAGGUUGAAACU